Esox lucius (northern pike) is the source of this 2127-nucleotide long non-coding RNA. The record is from Ensembl. Lineage: Eukaryota; Metazoa; Chordata; Actinopteri; Esociformes; Esocidae.
CCGGCUGGCCCCUCCACAGUCUAUGGUGACCAAAGAUUUGACAGUGAGCAAGUUUAUUUCGCAUGGUCCGUUCUGUCCCUCUCUAUACAGCCAAUGUUUGCUAUGUGAAAAAGAACAAUCAAUAGCUAUUAAGACUGCCUGAAUGGGUCUUGUAUGUGUUUGACAUGCCGCCUAAACAGCUUGCCUUGAAGUGUGUAGAGUAUGGAGAGGAAGGAGCGCUAGGCUGUUUCUGUUGACAUUUUGUUUUGCGUUUAUUACAAAAGCUGAAUGGGAUUUAUUAAUGUUUUUCAGAAAUAUGAAGCAGAGCCUUUUCCUACAUCAUGGAGUAGCAUUGAAAGCACCUUGCACCUUGCAUUGCAUCUGUGUAUGUAAAAUGUUACUCCAUUGUAGGUAAGAUUUCUUGGGUUGUUGUUUUUUUAAAGCUAUUUCUCUUUAGGCAUUUUCAUGUUUAUAUGACAGGAAAGUCUGGAAAGAUAAGCGAUAGUUUGUCCUGAAAGAGCAGUUGGCUGGUUUUUAACCAACACUGUGUGUCAGAGGCAGUGGCUUAAACUUCUGGACCAACUGAGGAGGCUUUGGAUUGAUCUUCAUUGUACUUAUGUGUAACUGAAUGUUGCCUUGCAUUUGUUUUUACACAGGUUCUCAUUGUUACGCGGAAUUGCUUCUCAGUCAACUUACCUGGUUAAAUAAAGUGAUCAACAAUCGAAGCCUGCUCAGAAGGCCUGCUAAACCCUCAGCACCUCAGCCACCUGCCCCCCAACUCCAUUGGCUCUGUCCAGGAGGACGUUGAUAGGAUAUGAGAGGUGUGGCGGCCAUUGCUGCCCUUCAUUGUGAGCUGGCGCCUGCAGUACGAGCAGAACUGCCAGACCAGACACUGAUGUGGGUUGACACUGCAUCCAGGAGGUGAGGAGACUCUUUUCUUUUGCUCUUUUUCUCGCCUCCUGACAAGUAGAAAGAAGGCCUUUUACCAGACAGGCCCCGCCCUUUUAUGCUUGAACUGGUCCUAGGUCUCAGCCUCUACUUUCCCCUCUCCUCCUUUUCUCCUCCUUUUCUCCUCCUUUGUCCUCCCCCCUUUUAUUUUCCUCCUAGAGAAGCAUAACAAGAGCCAAGAUGGACAUUAAAUCCCUAGAGACAGUCUGUCUUUUUCCUCUCCCUAUUUUAAAUCAAAUGUAAGUCUUUAUACGAAGAGGCAAUCAUGCAACUUGCAGCACAAGACCAGGAAAAGUAGAUGGCAGUAGACCCUGCAACAUAUUGAGCCCGUUAGCUCCCCCUGAGGCUGAAACACUGUCAAAUAGUGACCCCUUUUCACCCUUAGGCUAUGACCACACUCAAUAGUUAAUCUGAGUACCAAUACUUUAUCCAUUAUUAAUCCUGGAUCCAUUCAUUUUAUAAUACCUAAUGUUUACAGGGGGCUGCUAGGUGCAACAGACUAUGCCAUUCCUGCUUCCUGGUGAAAGAAAACGGCAAAUGAUACAAGUGACCGCUGUUUUUGUCCUAAAACUGUGAAGGUUUUCAGGUUGGUCUGUAUGGUAUAUACCAGCAAACAUAUGGCUUUGUUGACAAUUUUCCCAAUGCAGAUGUGUCUCUUUGCCAUACCUGUCACAAAUGAUGUGUGACAAAAAUCACCAAGAAGGGGCGUGAGAGCACUACCCACAUCAGGAAGUACUUGAUCCGAAAGGAUUUCAUUGGAUAAGAACAAGAAGACUUUUGCAUGGGUGUAGCAGGAGCGUUAUUGGAAUAUAAUUAAUCGAUUCAUCUCCCUCUACGAUCGCCACAGGGGCACACGGACUCCCCGAUCCUCUUUAAUGGAACAGCUAAUGACAAGCUCCAUUAGUUUAAUGUCUGCUUUUAUCGUCCUCCUCUCUUUAGAUGACUGCAGCGUUUCAUUAGCCACGACUGACUCAUAUCUCACUUUAGCAACCCGGAGGAAAUUGUGAAGGGAUUAAUUUUGUGAGGGACCCCCAGCUCCAUCCUUCCCCCCAUCCCCGCUCCAUCUUCAUCCCCCCUCUCUCUUCCAGCUCCCAGCCGGAGACCCAGGAGGAAUAGUGUCUUUGUUGCCCUGCCGUUUUCAGACUUGAAGAACAAGAGAAGUUUAAUCCUCAUUGUCCAGGAGACUGGGGGGGUUCGCCG